Molecule: ribosomal RNA, 352 nt
Filed under: Aphelochaeta marioni
Lineage: Eukaryota; Metazoa; Annelida; Polychaeta; Terebellida; Cirratulidae
Description: partial 16S ribosomal RNA
Rfam family: Bacterial large subunit ribosomal RNA
Source: RNAcentral
GCACAAUCAAUUGCCCUUUAAUUAAGGGCCUGUAUGAAUGGACACACGAAAAUAUAGCUGUCUCAGUGAGAUGCCCUAAAAAUUAGCCUUCAGGUGAAGAGACCUGAAUUUCAUAGCAAGACAAAAAGACCCUGUAGAGCUUUAUUAUAACAUUAAUCUAAUUUUAAUUCUCUGAACUACAAUAUAAAUUAAUCUAAAAUUUUGUUGGGGCGACAAAGGACCACCUAAAACGUCCUUAAAUAUAAAGACCAAUAUGUCUCCCAACGACUCAUAGCACUUUGUUUAAGAAACACUAGCUACCUCAGGGAUAACAGGCUAAUAUCCCCUUGAGAGCCCAAAUUGACAGGGGAGU